AAAAGAUAGCUUUUUAGACUUGUAGAUCAAUCGGUAAAUUAAUUUUGCAACAUGUAGAAAAAUUAAUACGAUAUGAUAAAAUAGGAAUCUAAUGUAUUCAUUGAUUCAGCUGAAGUAAUAAUAAGAGAAGUAGAAAGAAUCUUUUGAAAAGGACAUAAAGUAAUGAACGAUGAUUAAGAUUAAAAUCAAAAAAUUCCACCAACUGUGUGUAGUAUACAAAACAACAAUGUUUUAUUUGAAACAACAUACAAUCACGUGCCACAUAUUUUCCUUAAAAGCCAUCGGUUCGCACGUUCCGCGAGACGAUUGGUCGACGUUAUAUCAUCAUUUGUAACGUAGAAAUGUGUUUACAUGCGAAAUUUUCCCUCCAAUAUGGCUCUGUCUUUUUAUCAACAUAAGCCACUCGGUCUCAUCUUGCAUUUUCCCUUGAUCUGUCGUGGAACUCGCGAACCUCGUUUAUCCCUUUUACUGCUUAUUCAAUGGUAUUAUUUUUUUUUUCAAUCUUCUUCCUCUUCUUCUUCUUUUUUUUUUUGGUAAUUUUAUUUUAUCAUUAAUAUAAUCUUGUUUUUAUUUUUCCCCCAUUAAAAAUUUACGCUGACACAAAUACAACGCCUCUCGUUUUUUUCUCGAGGCCUUCGAAAAAAGAUCUUCAUUUUUGGCGAGGUUUUUCGUCGCUAAACAUAUUUCUUUGCUGGUCUACGCUAAUCCUAAGGUUUUUUUUUUUCCUCUCUUGUGUCGCUAAUAUCCUCGAUGACAAAGACGAAAAAGCACGAACGAGGACACUUGAGAGAGAGAUCGCUGUCUUAUCUUAUCUUUUCUUUUCCUCUUUUAUAUAUUUCAUCAUCUCUUUCGA
Apis florea (little honeybee) is the source of this 853-nucleotide long non-coding RNA. The record is from RefSeq and is a predicted model, not a curated record. Lineage: Eukaryota; Metazoa; Arthropoda; Insecta; Hymenoptera; Apidae.